AUUCUCUUAGGAGAGUCCAGGAAAAAAAAACAAACAACAAAACAAAAUGGAUCUCCUCUUGGAGAUUUACCAAAAUGAAAUUCUUCUGGAGUAGCCAAAUUGACUUCCUGUUCUACUCCUACACUGCACUCAGUUUUCUGGGCACCUAAGGAAAGCGGUGGAAACCCUGCGUUCCAGUCUGUUAAAUUUAUUGGAUCAGACACUGAGGUGUAGACUCUCACUCGCCCAUUGAAGCGUAUUUCAAACUUCUGUUGCUUCCUCAACAGUCUGAGAAACAGAAGGCAUUUAAGUCUUCCCUGAAACAUUUCCACUAAAGCCUGCUUUAGAAGGAAGAGUGAGGAAAAGCACGGCUGUGCAGUGAAGAGAGAUCCAGUCGUGCUUCCGCUGUUAAAGAUCUAACAAGAACAGCAGUGCCUGGUUUUUUGUUGCUCUGACAAUUUGUAGGAAAACCUCACAAGGUUUGAGGGCUGCUCUCCUAUCAUUUUGGUAUUCUGUUCCUGAAGUGGGUCAAUAUUUAAUUAAAGCAUUGUUCUGGCAGAGCACAGAGCAUUCUGCAUUUAACUUCCUAAGUAUUUGUUCCUUUCAGAACCUGGUGGAGGAGGAGGUUGGUUAAAAAUAACAUGAAAAGGAUUCUUUGAGCUCAAGUAUUAGGAAUGGAAUGUUAUCUACAGAAUAAUCCCAAGAGCAAGAAUGGAAAAAUAUCCCACCCUGGCAAGAAUUCUUGUAAAAUAAGGCUACAGCACUUAAACAAGGCUCUGCAGGGAAACCUGUACUGCUGCUACUCAUCCUAGGUGUGCCAGAGGAAGAGCAGGUUUCUGUUACUAGGCCUGAACAAAUACAUAAGCUGAGUUUUAGUGGAGCAAGUGCUCUGCACCAGCAGAGUGAGAACAUCGAAACAAAGGGAGAAUUAAACAGCAGAACACAGUGGUUCAGGUAGCUGCUCUUUCUCAUUUUAUUAAAACUCAGGUGGAUGGAUGCUGCUUUCCUCCAGUUCCAAGCAGGAAAUGUGCUCCUGACCAGGGUGUCUCCCAAGUGCAGUGAGGGUACAUAAAACUUCCAUGACUGGAUGAGUUUUCCUGCUCUGUUACAUGUUCCAGUUAAUCAUCUCUCUGCUUUGUCCUGCUUUUAUGUUAGCACCUUAUACUGACAGAGAACUUCAACCAUAAGGCAAUCCUGUAUUUGUUUGAAUAACUACCACAGGUUUAUAUAUAUAUAAAAUAUAUAAGAUAUAUAUAUAUAUAACUAGCAUAGGUUUAUACAGAUGUAUAUAUAAAAGAAAGGUGUGAUACUACACUUAGGAAAUGGAAUUAAGGACUGCAAGUCUAUAGGCAACACAGUGUAACAACAGCCUCAGAGUUCUUACCUUUGGAACUCUUGAGCAGAAGGUGCCAUGAGCUUAUCCAGUGUUUUUUCCGUAGAGGAAAAUGGUGAGUUGCUUAGUGCUAAUAUAUCUGGAGCUGAGCAUAGUGUGCAGCAGUAAAAAGGAUGGUCUGAAAACAGGUAACUUACUGGAUCCAAGGGAGCUUGCUCUUCACUGUUGUGAAUUCCUUACAAGAAACAGAGGACAAAUCCUACCACCCACAUUUGACAGAUUGUUUCCACUCUAAGAGCUCUCUUACCUAGCAGGAGGUCAAAGCUCAGAUUAGCAGAACUCUGUUCCUGAUACAGAUGUAUUAAUUCUGUUGGUAGCUUCCUGUAAUCUUUUUCUAGAAGCCUCAAACCACAGAUGCUGAAAUUUAAGUAUUUCAACUAAAAAAGAAAAAUUCCCUCAAAUUGUGUUUGCACAGUUUGGUACCUUCCUGAUUUUAAAAGUGUUAUUGCCAGUUUCCUUUCAUAAUUAAUAUAUCAGGUAGGUGAUUAUUCAUAUGCCAGGAAAAAUACAAAGUCAGAAUUCUUGGUAAGUUUUAACCUGAAGAGAAGAGGCUACCACAGUAACAUCUGGUGUGUUAUCACAUACCCUGUAUCUGGGGUGGUCAGGCUGUUAUCAUGAAAAUGGCAAUGUCACAUUUUUGCUGUGAAAAUUGCAAAUCUGAAGUAAGUGAAGGACCACGUUGGAAUUUUUUUUCAUUUCUUUUACACUUUCAGGUGGAUCUUACACAGUGUGGCACAUACAGUGCUUCAAGGAUAUUUAUUUCAUAACAAGUUCUUUGCUGUUAAACCUCUGGAGACAAUUUACACUUCUCUGGCAGUUGGAUGAAUAAGCAAACCUGAGUUUUCCACCUGCUUUAUAGUUACAAUACAUCAAACUUUAAACUGCAAAUUGGCAAGUAUUGUUCCUACCCUCAUUCUCUCAGCUAAAAUUUCAUAUUGAGAUUAUUUGUUCCACUCACUGUUAAUUAUUUUUUUAAUGUACUAGGAAAAAGUUUAUUAAGAGCUGUAUCUACAGUAGAACUCUAAGUUCUUUCCCGGUAAGUUAUUAGUAUCCUAUUUAUUCCUAUAAGAUUUUUUUUCCCUAUGGUAUAGAGUGUGGCACGAGCAGUUCAAACUUCUAGAUGAUUGCCCAAAUAGUCAAGAAGAGGCUGAAAAAAAGAAAACCCACACAAUAUUCCUUGUGUGCUGCUGAACUUGUGGCACGGACAACAUGGAUACGAGUAGCUCCUGUUGUUACCCUGAUGUUGGAUACUGCAGUUCUUUCCAUACUGGUUUUGUAUUUUUCCAGCUGAAGGAAAAAAGUCUUUUAAAGUUACUGCAUAUUUUGUCAACUCUUUCAUUUUGACUCAGAUCGUAUGAAGCACAUACAUAAAAGAAGUCUACAGAGAGAUAACUACACUAGUUUUCAGUGACAAGGUUUAUCUGUAUUUUAACAGUUAAACCCACUAUGUUAAUAAAACAAGACUUCUGAACAAUAA
This is a long non-coding RNA of Corapipo altera (White-ruffed manakin), 2849 nucleotides long. RefSeq lists it as uncharacterized. NCBI's taxonomy places the organism in Eukaryota, Metazoa, Chordata, Aves, Passeriformes, Pipridae. The transcript is spliced from 2 exons. The record is from RefSeq and is a predicted model, not a curated record.